UACGUAGGUGGCAAGCGUUGUCCGGAUUUACUGGGCGUAAAGAGCGCGCAGGCGGUCGUUCAAGUCGCGUGUGAAAUCCCGAGGCUCAACCUCGGGUCUGCAGUCGAUACGAGCAAACUAGAGUGUUGCAGGGGAGACUGGAAUUCCUGGUGUAGCGGUGAAAUGCGCAGAUAUCAGGAGGAACACCGGUGGCGAAGGCGGGUCUCUGGGCAACAACUGACGCUGAGGAGCGAAAGCGUGGGGAGCGAACAGG
Molecule: ribosomal RNA, 253 nt
Filed under: uncultured bacterium
Lineage: Bacteria
Description: partial 16S ribosomal RNA
Rfam family: Bacterial small subunit ribosomal RNA
Source: RNAcentral